Molecule: ribosomal RNA, 457 nt
Filed under: Verconia laboutei
Lineage: Eukaryota; Metazoa; Mollusca; Gastropoda; Nudibranchia; Chromodorididae
Description: Noumea laboutei partial 16S ribosomal RNA
Rfam family: Archaeal large subunit ribosomal RNA
Source: RNAcentral
AGCCUUAGGAAAAUAUCUAAGGUUUGACCUGCCCACUGUGUAAAAGGUAAGUCCUGUUAUGAAUGGCCGCGGUACUUUGACCGUGCUAAGGUAGCGUAAUCAAUUGGCUCUUAAUUGGGGUCAGGAAUGAAUGGAGUCACGGGGCUUUACUGUCUCCUAGCUAAUAAUUUGAAGUUACUAUGUAAGUGAAAAAGCUUAUGUUUAGAAAAAGGACGAGAAGACCCUUAGAGUUUUACUAAAUUAUAUAUUAUUAUUUAUAUCGGUUUAGUUGGGGCAACUCGGGAUAGCAAAAAUUUAAUAAUCUCUCUAGCAUUAUUAACCGAUUAUAAUAAAUUUGAAUAAACUACCUUAGGGAUAACAGCAUAAUUUUAUAUUGAAGUUUGUGACCUCGAUGUUGGACUAGGAUACUAAAAGGCUAGCCGUCUUUUAGGAAAGUUCUGUUCGAACUAUUAUUCCU